UACGGAGGGUGCGAGCGUUAAUCGGAAUUACUGGGCGUAAAGCGCAUGCAGGCGGCCUAUUAAGUCAGAUGUGAAAGCCCGGAGCUCAACUCCGGAAGGUCAUUUGAAACUGAUAGGCUAGAGUCUUGUAGAGGGGGGUAGAAUUUCAGGUGUAGCGGUGAAAUGCGUAGAGAUCUGAAGGAAUACCAGUGGCGAAGGCGGCCCCCUGGACAAAGACUGACGCUCAGAUGCGAAAGCGUGGGUAGCAAACGGG
RNAcentral lists this ribosomal RNA (253 nucleotides) under uncultured bacterium. Its description in RNAcentral is "partial 16S ribosomal RNA". It matches the Rfam family "Bacterial small subunit ribosomal RNA", at positions 524 to 776 of the family's 1533-position model. The record is from RNAcentral.